Molecule: RNA transcript, 1528 nt
Organism: Mus pahari (shrew mouse)
Lineage: Eukaryota; Metazoa; Chordata; Mammalia; Rodentia; Muridae
Exons: 1
Source: RefSeq, a predicted model, not a curated record
AUGCUCACUGUACUUCCAAGUGCCAGGCAGCAUCUUCCAAGAAAUAGCCAGCUGCUGGGGCCUGGACUUGUCUGUGACCAUGUGGCCCCCAACAGGGCCUGCUCCUCACACCUCCUGGCCUGGGCUGCCCUGGCCUAGCAGAAACCACGAGGACCUUGAUGUAGCUGUGACGUGUGGUCACCCCUUACCGACAGGAUCUGGGCAUUUCCCCAGGGAGCACUCAGCGGAAGCCUUCAGAGUCCACCCAGCCUCUGGGUCAAAGCCCUCAGCCCCUCAUUGGACUUCCAGGGUCUCAGACAACCUGUCUCUCCACUGCCCUGGCAAAGGCAAAAGAUGGAACCAGGCUCAAGUCUGAUCAGGACAUAGACAAGGUCACCUGCCCAUCAUUGGAGCGCCUCCUUCCUUUGGUGAACAUAGGCCACCAUGAGCCUUGCCUCAGGUUAAUGUAGCUCCCAUGGAGGCAGCAGAGUGCAAUUGAUGCUCCCAUUCUCUCUCCUCACUCUCCCUCUGAGGUCCCAAGGGGAUCACGCCUGUAUAGGUCCCCUUACCCCUCAGCAUGUGGCAUUACCCCUUUUCCUCCCUAGGCACAGACUGAUCCUAGCUGGUUCGAAUCUGACCUGUCUCCGUCGCAGCCCCCUUCCCUGUCCUGAGAGUCCCUGGACCUUGUUUCAGGUGACACAUAGUUCCUCUUGUCCUUCAGUGGCAUUUUUCAGUUGGGUGGGUGAGAUGUCACCUGUCUGACCCUCCAUACUCCUAGGUCUGGGUUCCUCCACCCUUUCUGUUGGUCCCACCUUGCUUGCUCACUCCCCCAAGAGAUGACAUAUUGCUGGGAAUGUGAUGGAGGGCACAGAGUAACCUGUUCUCCCACCGUUCUGGAAGCCAACAGCAGAGGUCAGGGUGCUUGGGCCCCAUUUUCUUCUGGCUUCAGGGGCCCCAGAUCUCCUGGACACUGUGUCCUGUCUUCAUGUGGCUUUCUCUUACCCCAUCUGUCUCUUGCCCUGAAUACAAGACCCACCCUAAAUCUAGGAUGACCACAUUGAAAGAGCCUUUGUUACAUCUCUAAAGACCCGUUUUCUAAAUGGGGACACAGACCCCAGGAUUAGGAUAUGGGGUUUUCUUUUGAAGGCCCUCUAUUCAGUUUGCUGCCUUCUGCCAUUCUAAGAAGAUGCAAGACCCCUGCUAUGCUCUUCGGCUCUUUGGCAGCCUACUCAUUGCUUCUGGGGUUGGGCUAACCACUAUAGCUCUAGAAGGAUUGUGGGUGCAGCAGUCACUGUCAUGGCUGUCCAGUUCCUGAUGGAGCUGCAGAAUAAGGAGGUCUCCUAAGGAUAUAUGAGGGGCAUAAUAAAUAUGGACCUUCAAACUGGGCCAGUGAUCAUUAACAAUAGAGAAAGCUGUGCUUGGUGGCACACACCUGAAAUUCCAGCACUCAGAGCCUGAGGCAGCAAUGAGCCUGAGUCCCAUUGUGAGUUCCUGGACAGCCUGCUGAACUACAGGGAGAGACCCUGACUUUAAAAAAAAAAAAAAAAAA